GACGAACGCUGGCGGCGUGCCUAAUACAUGCAAGUAGAACGCUGAAGAGAGGAGCUUGCUCUUCUUGGAUGAGUUGCGAACGGGUGAGUAACGCGUAGGUAACCUGCCUUGUAGCGGGGGAUAACUAUUGGAAACGAUAGCUAAUACCGCAUAACAAUGGAUGACACAUGUCAUUUAUUUGAAAGGGGCAAUUGCUCCACUACAAGAUGGACCUGCGUUGUAUUAGCUAGUAGGUGAGAUAACGGCUCACCUAGGCGACGAUACAUAGCCGACCUGAGAGGGUGAUCGGCCACACUGGGACUGAGACACGGCCCAGACUCCUACGGGAGGCAGCAGUAGGGAAUCUUCGGCAAUGGGGGCAACCCUGACCGAGCAACGCCGCGUGAGUGAAGAAGGUUUUCGGAUCGUAAAGCUCUGUUGUAAGUCAAGAACGAGUGUGAGAGUGGAAAGUUCACACUGUGACGGUAGCUUACCAGAAAGGGACGGCUAACUACGUGCCAGCAGCCGCGGUAAUACGUAGGUCCCGAGCGUUGUCCGGAUUUAUUGGGCGUAAAGCGAGCGCAGGCGGUUUGAUAAGUCUGAAGUUAAAGGCUGUGGCUCAACCAUAGUUCGCUUUGGAAACUGUCAAACUUGAGUGCAGAAGGGGAGAGUGGAAUUCCAUGUGUAGCGGUGAAAUGCGUAGAUAUAUGGAGGAACACCGGUGGCGAAAGCGGCUCUCUGGUCUGUAACUGACGCUGAGGCUCGAAAGCGUGGGGAGCGAACAGGAUUAGAUACCCUGGUAGUCCACGCCGUAAACGAUGAGUGCUAGGUGUUGGAUCCUUUCCGGGAUUCAGUGCCGCAGCUAACGCAUUAAGCACUCCGCCUGGGGAGUACGACCGCAAGGUUGAAACUCAAAGGAAUUGACGGGGGCCCGCACAAGCGGUGGAGCAUGUGGUUUAAUUCGAAGCAACGCGAAGAACCUUACCAGGUCUUGACAUCCCGAUGCUAUUUCUAGAGAUAGAAAGUUACUUCGGUACAUCGGUGACAGGUGGUGCAUGGUUGUCGUCAGCUCGUGUCGUGAGAUGUUGGGUUAAGUCCCGCAACGAGCGCAACCCCUAUUGUUAGUUGCCAUCAUUCAGUUGGGCACUCUAGCGAGACUGCCGGUAAUAAACCGGAGGAAGGUGGGGAUGACGUCAAAUCAUCAUGCCCCUUAUGACCUGGGCUACACACGUGCUACAAUGGUUGGUACAACGAGUUGCGAGUCGGUGACGGCAAGCUAAUCUCUUAAAGCCAAUCUCAGUUCGGAUUGUAGGCUGCAACUCGCCUACAUGAAGUCGGAAUCGCUAGUAAUCGCGGAUCAGCACGCCGCGGUGAAUACGUUCCCGGGCCU
RNAcentral lists this ribosomal RNA (1369 nucleotides) under uncultured bacterium. RNAcentral's name for it is "bacterial SSU rRNA". It matches the Rfam family "Bacterial small subunit ribosomal RNA", at positions 28 to 1381 of the family's 1533-position model. The record is from RNAcentral.